CAGCUUAUUGAUCGACAUCUAUAUGCUACCACUGAUAGGAUCGAGGCGUGACCUUCGACUAGAGUCGAUGGAUCGUAGUCGACUGCAGCCGCGGUAAUACGUAGGUGGCAAGCGUUGUCCGGAAUUAUUGGGCGUAAAGGGCUCGCCAGGCGGUUUCUUAAGUCUGAUGUGAAAGCCCCCGGCUCAACCGGGGAGGGUCAUUGGAAACCGGGAAACUUGAGUGCAGAAGAGGAGAGUGGAAUUCCACGUGUAGCGGUGAAAUGCGUAGAGAUGUGGAGGAACACCAGUGGCGAAGGCGACUCUCUGGUCUGUAACUGACGCUGAGGAGCGAAAGCGUGGGGAGCGAACAGGAUUAGAUACCCUGGUAGUCCACGCCGUAAACGAUGAGUGCUAAGUGUUAGGGGGUUUUCGCCCCUUAGUGCUGCAGCUAACGCAUUAAGCUCCGCCUAGGGAGUACGGUCGCAAGACUGAAACUCAAAGGAAUUGACGGGGGCCCGCACAAGCGGUGGAGCAUGUGGGUUAAUUCGAAGCAACGCGAAAACCUUACCAGGUCUUGACAUCUCUGACAACCCUAGAGAUAGGGCUUUCCCUUCGGGGACAGAGUGACAGGUGGUGNUGGUUGUC
RNAcentral lists this ribosomal RNA (624 nucleotides) under Bacillus sp. JRI06. Its description in RNAcentral is "bacterial SSU rRNA". It matches the Rfam family "Bacterial small subunit ribosomal RNA", at positions 430 to 1053 of the family's 1533-position model. The record is from RNAcentral. Lineage: Bacteria; Bacillati; Bacillota; Bacilli; Caryophanales; Bacillaceae.